This 75-nucleotide small RNA is filed under the name Polaribacter atrinae. RNAcentral describes it as "Flavo-1 RNA". It matches the Rfam family "Flavo-1 RNA". Lineage: Bacteria; Pseudomonadati; Bacteroidota; Flavobacteriia; Flavobacteriales; Flavobacteriaceae. The record is from Rfam by way of RNAcentral.
CUUUUGCGUUAGCGAUUGAAACGGCAUCCUUUUUGCCUUUUCGGUAAAAAGAUAUAGUGUAAAGCGCGCCCCUUG